UGCGGGAUGGUGUAACUGGCAACACGCUGCGCUUUGGACGCAGAGACUGAAGGUUCGAUCCCUUCUCCCGCAGCCA
Molecule: transfer RNA, 76 nt
Filed under: Pyrinomonadaceae bacterium
Lineage: Bacteria; Pseudomonadati; Acidobacteriota; Blastocatellia; Blastocatellales; Pyrinomonadaceae
Description: tRNA-Gln
Rfam family: tRNA
About the family: Transfer RNA (tRNA) molecules are approximately 80 nucleotides in length. Their secondary structure includes four short double-helical elements and three loops (D, anti-codon, and T loops).
Source: RNAcentral